GGGGAAUCUUCCGCAAUGGACGAAAGUCUGACGGAGCAACGCCGCGUGAGUGAUGACGGCCUUCGGGUUGUAAAGCUCUGUUAAUCGGGACGAAUGGUUCUUGUGCGAAUAGUGCGAGGAUUUGACGGUACCGGAAUAGAAAGCCACGGCUAACUACGUGCCAGCAGCCGCGGUAAUACGUAGGUGGCAAGCGUUGUCCGGAAUUAUUGGGCGUAAAGCGCGCGCAGGCGGAUUGGUCAGUCUGUCUUAAAAGUUCGGGGCUUAACCCCGUGAUGGGAUGGAAACUGCCAAUCUAGAGUAUCGGAGAGGAAAGUGGAAUUCCUAGUGUAGCGGUGAAAUGCGUAGAUAUUAGGAAGAACACCAGUGGCGAAGGCGACUUUCUGGACGAAAACUGACGCUGAGGCGCGAAAGCCAGGGGGGCGAACGGGAUUAGAUACCCCGGUAGUCCUGGCCGUAAACGAUGGGUACUAGGUGUAGGAGGUAUCGACCCCUUCUGUGCCGGAGUUAACGCAAUAAGUACCCCGCCUGGGGAGUACGACCGCAAGGUUG
RNAcentral lists this ribosomal RNA (549 nucleotides) under uncultured bacterium. Its description in RNAcentral is "bacterial SSU rRNA". It matches the Rfam family "Bacterial small subunit ribosomal RNA", at positions 356 to 896 of the family's 1533-position model. The record is from RNAcentral.